UUUUGUUUGGUAAGGACUGAGUGAGAACCUGCAGAUGUUUUAUUGAAAACAAAUUUUGAAACAUCAUAGUGCUGUAGAACAUUGUGGAGUAUCCCUUAUUGCAGACACACAAAUGGUUCCUCUUCCAGAUAAAACUAAAUGAAGAGCAGAACUGAAAGGCAAUCAACACAAAAGGCAUGUCUGGAACUUGUAAAAUCUUCUGAGAAGUCCUACAAUCAGUUAAAAACAGUGUUAGACUAAAACAAGCAACAGAGGACUCAAGACGUUUCUCUUGCUCUCU
This 280-nucleotide long non-coding RNA is filed under the name Pogona vitticeps (central bearded dragon). RNAcentral describes it as "lncRNA (ENSPVIG00000010207.1)". The record is from RNAcentral. Lineage: Eukaryota; Metazoa; Chordata; Lepidosauria; Squamata; Agamidae.